GCCUGUUUAUCAAAAACAUCGCCUAAAGCUAAGAUUUUAGGUUAAAUCUGCCCCCUGCAGUAUCUUCUGUAAAUGGCUGCAGUACCUUGACUGUACUAAGGUAGCAUAAUAAUUUGGCUUUUAAUUGAAGUCUGGCAUGAAUGAAUUUAUUGGGAGAAGCUGUCUUUUUGGGCCGCUAUAGAAGUUUCUGAUUAGGUGAAAAAGCCUAUAGUUUAUUAAAGGACGAUAAGACCCCUUGAUCUAAAAUUAAAAAUUUGUUGGGGCAACACAGGAGUCAAUUCCUCCUUAGAGAUUUAUCCUAUUUGCAAAGUUGGAGUAAUGAAAAAGAUACCAAGGGGAUAACAGCAUAAUUAUUUUGUUAGCUUAUGACCUCGAUGUUGGAUUUGGGAAGAUUAGGAUAGAAGCCCACAUCGGCUGCUCUGUUCGAGCAUAUAUCCCCAACGUGAUCUGAGUUCAGACCG
RNAcentral lists this ribosomal RNA (461 nucleotides) under Graphis sp. AD-2009. Its description in RNAcentral is "partial 16S ribosomal RNA". It matches the Rfam family "Bacterial large subunit ribosomal RNA", at positions 1798 to 2618 of the family's 2925-position model. The record is from RNAcentral. Lineage: Eukaryota; Metazoa; Mollusca; Gastropoda; Littorinimorpha; Eulimidae.